GAUCAUUAAAAUUUAUUGUUUACAUUGUUUUUGAAGCAAACUUAAAAAACCUUUAAAUUUCAAUUUCUUUAAAAAUCAAAACUUUCAACAACGGAUCUCUUGGUUCUCGCAUCGAUGAAGAACGCAGCGAAUUGCGAUACGUAUCAUGACUUGCAGACGUGAAUCAUCAAUCUUUGAACGCACAUUGCGCCUUGAGGUAUUCCUCAAGGCAUGCCUGUUUGAGCGUCGGCUCCCUUCAAACCCCCGGGUUUGGUGUUGCCUUCCGAAAUAUCACAGUUGUUGCAAUACGUUACUUCAACUUUAUUCUUUCGCCCUCAAAUCAGGUAGGACUACCCGCUGAACUUAAGCAUAUCAAUAAGCGGAGGAA
RNAcentral lists this ribosomal RNA (367 nucleotides) under [Candida] sp. BEL40. RNAcentral's name for it is "eukaryotic LSU rRNA". The stretch from base 80 to 228 matches the Rfam family "5.8S ribosomal RNA". The record is from RNAcentral. Lineage: Eukaryota; Fungi; Ascomycota; Pichiomycetes; Serinales; Metschnikowiaceae.